UCCCUGGUGGCUCAGAUGGUAAAGCAUCAGCCUGCAAUGCGGGAGACCCAGGUUCGAUUCCUGGGUCGGGAA
Ovis aries (sheep) is the source of this 72-nucleotide transfer RNA. It matches the Rfam family "tRNA". From Rfam's summary of the family: Transfer RNA (tRNA) molecules are approximately 80 nucleotides in length. Their secondary structure includes four short double-helical elements and three loops (D, anti-codon, and T loops). Further hydrogen bonds mediate the characteristic L-shaped molecular structure. tRNAs have two regions of fundamental functional importance: the anti-codon, which is responsible for specific mRNA codon recognition, and the 3' end, to which the tRNAs corresponding amino acid is attached (by aminoacyl-tRNA synthetases). tRNAs cope with the degeneracy of the genetic code in two manners: having more than one tRNA (with a specific anti-codon) for a particular amino acid; and 'wobble' base-pairing, i.e. permitting non-standard base-pairing at the 3rd anti-codon position. NCBI's taxonomy places the organism in Eukaryota, Metazoa, Chordata, Mammalia, Artiodactyla, Bovidae. The record is from Rfam.